AGCCACAGCCAUAUCAACCUGCAGCUCAAGACCGGUUACUCACUGAAGCUAAGCAGGGCUGAGCCUGGUUAGUACCUGGAUAGGAGACCACAUGGGAAAACCAGGUUGCUGUUGAAU
Danio rerio (zebrafish) is the source of this 117-nucleotide ribosomal RNA. Lineage: Eukaryota; Metazoa; Chordata; Actinopteri; Cypriniformes; Danionidae. The record is from Ensembl.